AACACUGUUAACCUGCGGUACCUGCGGAAGGAUCAUUACCGAGUUUACAACUCCCAAACCCAAUGUGAACCAUACCAAACUGUUGCCUCGGCGGGGUCACGCCCCGGGUGCGUCGCAGCCCCGGAACCAGGCGCCCGCCGGAGGGACCAACCAAACUCUUUACUGUAGUCCCCUCGCGGACGUUAUUUCUUACAGCUCUGAGCAAAAAUUCAAAAUGAAUCAAAACUUUUAACAACGGAU
RNAcentral lists this unclassified non-coding RNA (240 nucleotides) under soil metagenome. RNAcentral's name for it is "partial contains 5.8S ribosomal RNA, internal transcribed spacer 2, and large subunit ribosomal RNA". The record is from RNAcentral.